Molecule: microRNA precursor, 96 nt
Filed under: Nicotiana sylvestris (wood tobacco)
Lineage: Eukaryota; Viridiplantae; Streptophyta; Magnoliopsida; Solanales; Solanaceae
Also listed under: 1 other name
Description: MIR6152 microRNA precursor family
Rfam family: MIR6152 microRNA precursor family
Source: Rfam by way of RNAcentral
UGGACAGAUUAUUGUAUUCAACUGUAUUCACGGCGUGAAACAGGGGAUUAUACUGUUUUUAAACGGAAAGUGAAUCAAUUAACAGAAUAGACUCCU